Molecule: long non-coding RNA, 207 nt
Filed under: Elaeis guineensis (African oil palm)
Lineage: Eukaryota; Viridiplantae; Streptophyta; Magnoliopsida; Arecales; Arecaceae
Description: long non-coding RNA (EGUI_LNC077833)
Source: RNAcentral
AGCAUAUCAACAGAUAGUUCUUCAGUAGGAGUGGUGCAUGUGAUCCUUUGACCUGAGAUCAUCAUGGUACCUUAUGUAUAUGGAUCUUUACUUUGAUUUAUUUCCUAGCACACUACUUUGAGAUGUGUGUGGGAUAUUUUGGGUAUGGUGAAGUAUGCAUGGAGAUUGUGAGUGGUCAAUAAGGAAUCGGUCACUUUUUGUAGGAGG